CACACUGGCCCCGCACAGGUCAAGUGUCCACUCUUAAACCUGGCGGCUGUGUCCAGAAACUGGAGUCCCUUUGUGAUCUAGUUAUUCCCACCAUGUGGAGGGAAGAGAGGAUAAAGGUUACCAAGCAUCCUGGUGACAAAGGACCUCGUAAGUCUCAUGAGAGAAUCAGUGUAGACAAUGGCUCUCAACAUCAAAGGAUAGAAAGGUAAAGAACCAUCAAAGGAUUCGUCUUUUAAUGGCAGUGAUAGCUGAUCCCUUCUGAACGAUUAAGAUGUGAAUUGUCAAUCACAGCAACCAUCCUGCACUGAGUCAAAAGCAGCAAAGUUCACUAGAAGAGAUUCCCAAGAUGAAUUUGGACCCUGGCCUAGAAACAGGCAAGCUGAAACCAAUGCCAGUAUGCAAGGCCUAAAGAUGGAACCACCAGCAGUACUGGAGUGAGAAGCAGUGAAAAACCAGGUCCUGAUCAUACUGCCUAAGCACCUGGAUCCAGCUAUAC
This is a long non-coding RNA of Canis lupus familiaris (dog), 496 nucleotides long. RefSeq lists it as uncharacterized. The transcript is spliced from 3 exons. The record is from RefSeq and is a predicted model, not a curated record. NCBI's taxonomy places the organism in Eukaryota, Metazoa, Chordata, Mammalia, Carnivora, Canidae.